UACGUAGGGGGCUAGCGUUGUCCGGAAUCAUUGGGCGUAAAGAGCGUGUAGGCGGUCCGGUAAGUCCGCUGUGAAAGUCGGGGGCUCAACCCUCGAAUGCCGGUGGAUACUGUCGGGCUAGAGUGCGGAAGAGGCGAGUGGAAUUCCUGGUGUAGCGGUGAAAUGCGCAGAUAUCAGGAGGAACACCUAUUGCGAAGGCAGCUCGCUGGGACGUAACUGACACUGAGACGCGAAAGCGUGGGGAGCAAACAGG
This 253-nucleotide ribosomal RNA is filed under the name uncultured bacterium. RNAcentral's name for it is "partial 16S ribosomal RNA". It matches the Rfam family "Bacterial small subunit ribosomal RNA", at positions 524 to 776 of the family's 1533-position model. The record is from RNAcentral.